This 297-nucleotide ribosomal RNA is filed under the name uncultured Sphingomonadaceae bacterium. Its description in RNAcentral is "partial 16S ribosomal RNA". It matches the Rfam family "Bacterial small subunit ribosomal RNA", at positions 111 to 426 of the family's 1533-position model. The record is from RNAcentral. Lineage: Bacteria; Pseudomonadati; Pseudomonadota; Alphaproteobacteria; Sphingomonadales; Sphingomonadaceae.
UAACGCGUGGGAAUCUGCCCUUUUGUUCGGAAUAACGUUGGGAAACCGACGCUAAUACCGGAUACGCCCUACGGGGGAAAGAUUUAUCGCAGAAGGAGGGGCCCGCGUCGGAUUAGCUAGUUGGUGGGGUAAUGGCUUACCAAGGCGAUGAUCCGUUGCUGGUCUGAGAGGAUGAUCAGCCCCACUGGGACUGAGACACGGCCCAGACUCCUACGGGAGGCAGCAGUGGGGAAUAUUGGACAAUGGGCGCAAGCCUGAUCCAGCAAUGCCGCGUGAGUGAUGAAGGCCUUAGGGUGU